Molecule: ribosomal RNA, 1447 nt
Filed under: uncultured organism
Description: 16S ribosomal RNA
Rfam family: Bacterial small subunit ribosomal RNA
Source: RNAcentral
GAACGCUAGCUACAGGCUUAACACAUGCAAGUCGAGGGGCAUCAGGAAGAAAGCUUGCUUUCUUUGUUGGCGACCGGCGCACGGGUGAGUAACACGUAUCCAACCUGCCCUUUACUCGGGGAUAGCCUUUCGAAAGAAAGAUUAAUACCCGAUAGCAUAAUGAUUCCGCAUGGUUUCAUUAUUAAAGGAUUCCGGUAAAGGAUGGGGAUGCGUUCCAUUAGGUUGUUGGUGAGGUAACGGCUCACCAAGCCUUCGAUGGAUAGGGGUUCUGAGAGGAAGGUCCCCCACAUUGGAACUGAGACACGGUCCAAACUCCUACGGGAGGCAGCAGUGAGGAAUAUUGGUCAAUGGGCGCUAGCCUGAACCAGCCAAGUAGCGUGAAGGAUGAAGGCUCUAUGGGUCGUAAACUUCUUUUAUAUAAGAAUAAAGUGCAGUAUGUAUACUGUUUUGUAUGUAUUAUAUGAAUAAGGAUCGGCUAACUCCGUGCCAGCAGCCGCGGUAAUACGGAGGAUCCGAGCGUUAUCCGGAUUUAUUGGGUUUAAAGGGAGCGUAGGUGGACUGGUAAGUCAGUUGUGAAAGUUUGCGGCUCAACCGUAAAAUUGCAGUUGAUACUGUCAGUCUUGAGUACAGUAGAGGUGGGCGGAAUUCGUGGUGUAGCGGUGAAAUGCUUAGAUAUCACGAAGAACUCCGAUUGCGAAGGCAGCUCACUGGACUGCAACUGACACUGAUGCUCGAAAGUGUGGGUAUCAAACAGGAUUAGAUACCCUGGUAGUCCACACAGUAAACGAUGAAUACUCGCUGUUUGCGAUAUACAGUAAGCGGCUAAGCGAAAGCAUUAAGUAUUCCACCUGGGGAGUACGCCGGCAACGGUGAAACUCAAAGGAAUUGACGGGGGCCCGCACAAGCGGAGGAACAUGUGGUUUAAUUCGAUGAUACGCGAGGAACCUUACCCGGGCUUAAAUUGCAGUGGAAUGAUGUGGAAACAUGUCAGUGAGCAAUCACCGCUGUGAAGGUGCUGCAUGGUUGUCGUCAGCUCGUGCCGUGAGGUGUCGGCUUAAGUGCCAUAACGAGCGCAACCCUUAUCUUUAGUUACUAACAGGUUAUGCUGAGGACUCUGGAGAGACUGCCGUCGUAAGAUGUGAGGAAGGUGGGGAUGACGUCAAAUCAGCACGGCCCUUACGUCCGGGGCUACACACGUGUUACAAUGGGGGGUACAGAAGGCAGCUAGCGGGUGACCGUAUGCUAAUCCCAAAAGCCUCUCUCAGUUCGGAUCGAAGUCUGCAACCCGACUUCGUGAAGCUGGAUUCGCUAGUAAUCGCGCAUCAGCCACGGCGCGGUGAAUACGUUCCCGGGCCUUGUACACACCGCCCGUCAAGCCAUGGGAGCCGGGGGUACCUGAAGUACGUAACCGCAAGGAUCGUCCUAGGGUAAAACUGGUGACUGGGGC